AUGCACGCUGGCGGCGUGCCUCAUCCCUGCAAGUCGCGCGAACAGACGAGGAGCUUGCUCCUCUGACGUUAGCGGCGGACGGGUGAGUAACACGUGGAUAACCUACCUAUAAGACUGGGAUAACUUCGGGAAACCGGAGCUAAUACCGGAUAAUAUAUUGAACCGCAUGGUUCAAUAGUGAAAGACGGUUUUGCUGUCACUUAUAGAUGGAUCCGCGCCGCAUUAGCUAGUUGGUAAGGUAACGGCUUACCAAGGCGACGAUGCGUAGCCGACCUGAGAGGGUGAUCGGCCACACUGGAACUGAGACACGGUCCAGACUCCUACGGGAGGCAGCAGUAGGGAAUCUUCCGCAAUGGGCGAAAGCCUGACGGAGCAACGCCGCGUGAGUGAUGAAGGUCUUCGGAUCGUAAAACUCUGUUAUUAGGGAAGAACAAAUGUGUAAGUAACUAUGCACGUCUUGACGGUACCUAAUCAGAAGGCCACGGCUAACUACGUG
This 496-nucleotide ribosomal RNA is filed under the name uncultured bacterium. Its description in RNAcentral is "partial 16S ribosomal RNA". It matches the Rfam family "Bacterial small subunit ribosomal RNA", at positions 29 to 507 of the family's 1533-position model. The record is from RNAcentral.